UAAACGACUCUCGGCAACGGAUAUCUCGGCUCUCGCAUCGAUGAAGAACGUAGCGAAAUGCGAUACUUGGUGUGAAUUGCAGAAUCCCGUGAACCAUCGAGUCUUUGAACGCAAGUUGCGCCCGAAGCCUUCUGGCCGAGGGCACGUCUGCCUGGGCGUCACGCA
This 165-nucleotide ribosomal RNA is filed under the name Veronica anagallis-aquatica. RNAcentral describes it as "5.8S ribosomal RNA". It matches the Rfam family "5.8S ribosomal RNA". Rfam says of the family: 5.8S ribosomal RNA (5.8S rRNA) is a component of the large subunit of the eukaryotic ribosome. RNAcentral also lists the same sequence under 4 other names. Lineage: Eukaryota; Viridiplantae; Streptophyta; Magnoliopsida; Lamiales; Plantaginaceae. The record is from RNAcentral.